This 460-nucleotide ribosomal RNA is filed under the name uncultured bacterium. Its description in RNAcentral is "partial 16S ribosomal RNA". It matches the Rfam family "Bacterial small subunit ribosomal RNA", at positions 338 to 795 of the family's 1533-position model. The record is from RNAcentral.
CCUACGGGCGGCAGCAGUGAGGAAUAUUGGUCAAUGGACGAGAGUCUGAACCAGCCAAGUAGCGUGAAGGAUGACUGCCCUAUGGGUUGUAAACUUCUUUUAUAAAGGAAUAAAACGAGGCACGUGUGCCUUUUUGCAUGUACUUUAUGAAUAAGGAGCGGCUAACUCCGUGCCAGCAGCCGCGGUAAUACGGAGGAUCCGAGCGUUAUCCGGAUUUAUUGGGUUUAAAGGGAGCGUAGAUGGGUUGUUAAGUCAGUUGUGAAAGUUUGCGGCUCAACCGUAAAAUUGCAAUUGCUACUGGAAGUCUUGAGUACAGUUGAGGUAGGCGGAAUUCGUGGUGUAGCGGUGAAAUGCUUAGAUAUCACGAAGAACCCCGAUUGCGAAGGCAGCUUACUAAACUGUGACUGACAUUGAUGCUCGAAAGUGUGGGUAUCAAACAGGAUUAGAUACCCCGGUAGUC